GUGCCAGCAGCCGCGGUAAUACGUAGGGGGCAAGCGUUGUCCGGAAUCAUUGGGCGUAAAGCGCGCGUAGGCGGCCCGGUCAGUCCGCUCUGAAAGUCCAGAGCUCAACCCUGGAAUGCGGGUGGAUACUGCCGGGCUAGAGUCCGGAAGAGGCGAGUGGAAUUCCUGGUGUAGCGGUGGAAUGCGCAGAUAUCAGGAGGAACACCGAUAGCGAAGGCAGCUCGCUGGGACGGUACUGACGCUGAGGCGCGAAAGCGUGGGGAGCGAACAGGAUUAGAUACCCGAGUAGUCC
RNAcentral lists this ribosomal RNA (292 nucleotides) under uncultured bacterium. RNAcentral describes it as "partial 16S ribosomal RNA". It matches the Rfam family "Bacterial small subunit ribosomal RNA", at positions 505 to 796 of the family's 1533-position model. The record is from RNAcentral.